GGGUCAGUAGGUUGGUCGUGCCACCGGUACGUACUGGUCUCACUGAUUCCUCCUUCCUGAACAACCGUAAUGCCAUUAAUUUGGUGUAGCGGGGAAACAGGACUGUUACUUUGAAAAAAUUAGAGUGUUUAAAGCAAGCUAACGCUUGAAUACAGUAGCAUGGAAUAAUGAAAUAGGACGAUCGAUCCUAUUUUGUUGGUUUCUAGGAUUGACGUA
Molecule: ribosomal RNA, 216 nt
Filed under: Glomeromycotina sp.
Lineage: Eukaryota; Fungi; Glomeromycota
Description: partial small subunit ribosomal RNA
Rfam family: Eukaryotic small subunit ribosomal RNA (bases 40-216)
Source: RNAcentral